GUCGCGGGGAACGCGCUCGGGGCGACCCGGGCGGGAACGACUCUCGUCCUCCCUGAGCUGGAAGGGAGCGCGGGAUACGCCGGCGCGCUCAACCUCUCCUCUCUCGCUAGCGAAAAACUCCGCGCCUCAGAGCUGUAACCAGGUCGGGGAAAAACACAGGCGGCAAAGCCAGACCUGGAGGCCGCGGUGGAAACCCUUCCAGAGUAGCAAACACGAACGAAUGAGGUCUCAGAAGCACCCAUGAAAAAUAGAAACUGCUGCAGAGACUAAGAGGAAAAACUAAUAAAUAACAAUCAGCACUUGUGAAAGGCCUUCUUCUCAGCCCCCUGAUGUUUGGACCCCAGACCAAGUGUGGACUCUUUCCUACUGUUUUGUUUGCUGGAGUCAAAAAUCAUGUCUCACCGGAGGGCUUCUAGUGAAUUUAGUCUUGCAUCCUAUUGAAGAAUCUGGAUCAUGGAAGAGAUGCUGAUGCACAUUCUGGAAGUUUUGAUGGUGGCUUCUUUAUCUUAGCAGAGGUUGAUAAUGGAUGGUGUUUAGUCAAUGAGCAAGACUCAUUUUUUUCUGAAAUGAUUGAUUGGAGUGGAGGAAAAUGUGGACGGCAUGUUGUCAUACAGUAAGUCCAUCACCAGAAAUAACAAUGAAAUUUAUCCACAGCUAUUGUGAGAUACCAUCAAUAGCAAAGUGAAUCUCAGCUUCAAAUUCUGUUAAAAUGUGC
This is a long non-coding RNA of Fukomys damarensis (Damara mole-rat), 715 nucleotides long. RefSeq lists it as uncharacterized. The record is from RefSeq and is a predicted model, not a curated record. The transcript is spliced from 4 exons. Lineage: Eukaryota; Metazoa; Chordata; Mammalia; Rodentia; Bathyergidae.